This is a non-coding RNA of Chiloscyllium plagiosum (whitespotted bambooshark), 1070 nucleotides long. The record is from RefSeq and is a predicted model, not a curated record. NCBI's taxonomy places the organism in Eukaryota, Metazoa, Chordata, Chondrichthyes, Orectolobiformes, Hemiscylliidae.
GCUCCUUCGGUCUCCUGGAGUUGACGUCUCUCGCUGAGGCUGCAGGUGGUAUCACAGGAUUCCCCCGAUAACUCAAUUCCAAUCCUCAAAGCUUCAGAGGAGUGGGUUCUCCAAAUACAAAGGACAGGAUUCAGGAGUGGAAGCAGGAAGCAUGAGCUAAAUAAACUCCAGGUUUGUACAACACAUUACAGCUGUGACAGAGUGGGGAGCACUCCCACUGAAGACAGAAGUUCAUGGUUCUAGCUUCACCUCAGAGACAUGAGCACAUAAACGAAGCUUACGCUCCCAGCGCAGUACCAGGAUGGGGGAUUGCUUUUGGAGGACCCAUUAAACAGAGGCCCCAGCCACCCUCACAUGGACAUAAUAAAGAUUCCAUGGCCGGUGUUUCAAAGAAGAGCAGGAUAUCCUGCCUGGUGUGCUGAAUGAUAUUCAUCCCUCACUCAACACCACUUUAAAAGAAAAUGGACCAGCCACUUGAUCACAGUAGAGUUUGUGGAAUCUUGCUGUGCACAAAUUGGUUGACACGUUUCCUGCUUUACAACAGCGACAUUGCUUCAGAAAGCAGUCCUUGUGCUAUAAAAUGCAGUGGAAUGUUCUCAAGCACUGAAAGGCGCUAUAGAAAUGCAAGUCUUGCUUCUACCAAGUGCUAACUUACUUGAUAUGGAGAAGGUUUGAAACUCUGAGGGAUGUCCAGGAGCAAAGAAGUGAGAGAAGGGAAUUUACCAAAACUGUCUCCAUAAAGAUGAAGUUCAUCCCUUGUCUAAGACUUCCACUAAAAGUGAGGGAGCAUAAAUUUGACACAAUGUUCACGGAGUUGCUCUAGAGAAAACAAGGUUUAUACCGUACUGCAUGACAAUGGGGACAUUGAUUAACACACUUGAAAACCAAGACAUUAUAUAUAAAAACUUACUCACCAACUGUUCAACGUAUGGUGCUGUCUUCCCCAACUCCCUUGCUGUAUCACCUUCCCACACUCUGUCUCAGCUUAAUCUUCACCUUGCUGCCUGGCUGGUUUUUAAAUGACAGUUUGUUUUUGAAAGGAUACUUAAUAAAGUCCUGUGUUUGUUCUG